Long non-coding RNA from Zalophus californianus (California sea lion), 968 nucleotides. RefSeq lists it as uncharacterized. NCBI's taxonomy places the organism in Eukaryota, Metazoa, Chordata, Mammalia, Carnivora, Otariidae. The record is from RefSeq and is a predicted model, not a curated record. The transcript is spliced from 3 exons.
AGGGUACCAGCUGAAGGGUGAGAAUGUCUGGAAGAACUUGAGGAAGAAACUCAGGAAAGAAAAAAGCAUGAAAUAGGCUUCCCUUGUUGGGCACUGAGGGCGACCCACUGGCCAGCUGCACCCUUCUUCCAUUGAGGCCACUUGUCCCCUGCCAUGUGAUGUCCCUCUGUGUCUUGUUCAGAGGGCCAGCUUCCUGCUCUUCUUCUCCUAACAACAUUGCCAGAGGAGCAACAUCAGCUCUGCCUGUCCUGGAGAGGAAAGACUCCUAGGCCUUGCCAUGGCUCUGGAGCCUCCAGAUGGCUUCCCCUUCAGUGUGAUGGUGACCUCCGGGCCUAUGUAACCCUCCAACUCUGGGCAGAGGCCCCAUCAGGCCUCAGGGCAGGUUUUUUUCCUGCUCUUGACAACCGUUUGGAAAUUGAAUGAAUUGAGCUCCUUCUUGCUGCUUUUGGAUAACGGGCCCCUUCUAAGUGUAAGACAGAGUGAGGUGGCUGCGUUCUGUAAAAAGUUCAGGCCUUCUGGCCAGACAGACACUUCCAGGACUGGUUGGCCCAAGAAUUAGCCACCCGCCCUGUGUAAGGAAGAUUCUCCUAAUUGGGAAACUCUCCAAUCAGUUCUGUGUGCACUUUGCAGGCUCUCUGGGGGUAGAUUCAUUCACUCAUCAUUCAUGCCGUCAUUUAUCCAUCCACUUAUUCAUACAGCCAUCCCACCCCCCACCUAUCCAUCCCUCCACCUUCCUAUCUAGCCAUCUGUCCUCCCAUCCCCCUCACCCAUCCCUCUCUCCCUCCGUCCCUGCCUCCAGGCUGCAGCUGGACCAGACCCACACUGACCAAGGCUGGGGAGUAGCACCACACCCUCCCUUUGACCUUUGGCGUCACCCUUGGCAGACUCCGGGACCUCUCGGGCCCCUGAGAGCAUUCUGGUGAGUGCCUCUGGUCUCUUCCUGACCCCGCUGCCCCACCCAUGACAGG